GCCUCGGUGGCCAAGUGGUUGAAGGCGUCUGCUUCGUAAGCAGAAAACCGCGGGUUCGAAUCCCGCCCGGGGCUCCA
RNAcentral lists this transfer RNA (77 nucleotides) under Promethearchaeota archaeon. RNAcentral describes it as "Candidatus Lokiarchaeota archaeon (microbial mat metagenome) tRNA-Thr". It matches the Rfam family "tRNA". From Rfam's summary of the family: Transfer RNA (tRNA) molecules are approximately 80 nucleotides in length. Their secondary structure includes four short double-helical elements and three loops (D, anti-codon, and T loops). Lineage: Archaea; Promethearchaeati; Promethearchaeota. The record is from RNAcentral. RNAcentral also lists the same sequence under 2 other names.